AUAUAUAUGGUAAACGGCGAGCACUCUUAAUUGUUUUAAAUUUCAACAUGGUGUCCUAUACGUCAAGUUUAUUUUUUAUUUUUAUUAUGUUUGCAAUUCAAAUUGCAACUAUUUUUACUGCACCACCUGAUGAGAUGUCAGAAAUUCGUGCAGAGAAUUCGGCACUGAUUGAUGUUAUAAGCGGGAUUAUGAACAUAAGCCUCCUCGGCUAAAGGAAUGCAAUCAUUUUAACCAAUGUGGCACAAUCAAUAAAAU
Long non-coding RNA from Pieris brassicae (large cabbage white), 255 nucleotides. RefSeq lists it as uncharacterized. The record is from RefSeq and is a predicted model, not a curated record. The transcript is spliced from 3 exons. Lineage: Eukaryota; Metazoa; Arthropoda; Insecta; Lepidoptera; Pieridae.